Gigantopelta aegis is the source of this 801-nucleotide long non-coding RNA. RefSeq lists it as uncharacterized. Lineage: Eukaryota; Metazoa; Mollusca; Gastropoda; Neomphalida; Peltospiridae. The record is from RefSeq and is a predicted model, not a curated record. The transcript has 2 exons.
UCACGGCCCUUGAUAUACCCGUCGUGAUGCACUGGCUGGAAUGAGAAAUAGCCCAGCGGGAAUGGAUCCUAGACCAACCGCGCAUCAAGCGAGCGUUUUACCAUUGGGUUACGUCGCGCUGCUGGAUAUAAGCAUCACCGUGUAGCAUCGUACACAGGAUAUUGCGAGCUCUGAAGCGAGGAGAACGUAAACAUGAACUCACCAAGAUGGACUUAACAACCUCGUCUGAAAACUGAACAGACUAUUGAACACAUGCGUGACAGUUGCACGUACUCAACAAAUAAGAUUUCUAACCUACAGAGACAUUUGAAAACUCACUCACCAAAAGAAACAAGUACUCCUGUCAAAUAAUUAAAAUUGGUAUCUAAAAUGUGCGAUCAGUGUGGAAAAUCUUUUCGAUCAAAGUUUGGACUGACAUUACAUGUAAAGAACAAACACACCUUUACCUAUAAGCACACCUGCAAUGUGUGUGGCAAGGGGUUUAAUCAACGGGUGCAAUACAGGUUCCACUGCGCAAGUCAUGUCAGCAUGUCAUUAGAGAAAUGUCUGUUUUGCAAGAAAGAAUUCUAAAAAGGCAUCAGAUGCAUGCAUCAACCCCCAAGCUACAAGUAUAAUGAAUGCGCUAAGCAAUUUAAAUGGAGAUAGAGCCUUAAGGUUCACAACAUAAGUGCACAUUCAUAAACAUUUUUAUUUGGACUGCUUUUGAUACAAGAGUAUAAAUAAACUUAUGUAAUAUUUUGUCAUACGUUUCCAUGGAUACAGACAUAUGUAUGCUAUAUCAUUACAUCUUUUCGUUAUUGA